Juglans regia (Persian walnut) is the source of this 581-nucleotide long non-coding RNA. RefSeq lists it as uncharacterized. The record is from RefSeq and is a predicted model, not a curated record. The transcript has 3 exons. NCBI's taxonomy places the organism in Eukaryota, Viridiplantae, Streptophyta, Magnoliopsida, Fagales, Juglandaceae.
UUACCAAUUGCUUUUGCUUUCGUGAUAAUUAUACCUGUCCACCAACCAUCACCACCAUGGAUCCUUCUUUGGCUUCUUCCACUACCAACGUUUUAAACCAUUCUUCGUCCCCCAAGACUUUCUCACUUUUCCACAGUUGAAAACUCAGAGACAACACAGAGUGUCUUCAAUGCCACGCCCAGACAAGAAUUGAUGGUACUCUGCCCUCUGCAAAUGAAUUUUCUGGUUUGGUUUUACCCUCUGGUCUUUGGAAGAAAUGAGAGAAAAAGUGGAUGAUAAUGCCAUGGAGUGGUGGUUAACAGUGGUUUAUUAUCUCAAACAUCACAAGUCAUCUGCUUUUCGUUUUCUUGUUCUUUGCAAGAAACAAAAUGGAGUUUACAUUUGAAACUCGUAUUUGAUGAUGCUGUAUGUGCAUGUUUCUUAAUUCUCACUUUCUCUUUUACAGAUUUCGGUAGAUAUGAUCGUGCAGUAGUUCAAGGGAAGAAAAUGGACAAGAGGUUUUUCAAUCUUAGGUUUUCUGUGAGGUGAAUUACCAUCCUUGGCAUUGUUGACUUGAUGUUCUGCUGGCAAGUUAUUAACAU